GGGAAUAACACCGGGAAACCGGUGCUAAUACCGCAUACGAUCACGAUUUCUUCGGAUUUUGUGAUGAUUCGGAGCAAUUCGCUCUUGGAGGAGCCCGCGGUUGAUUAGCUAGUUGGUGAGGUAAUGGCUCACCAAGGCAACGAUCAGUAGCCGGUCUGAGAGGACGGUCGGCCACACUGGAACUGAGACACGGUCCAGACUCCUACGGGAGGCAGCAGUGGGGAAUUUUUCGCAAUGGGGGCAACCCUGACGAAGCAACGCCGCGUGGAUGAUGAAGUAUCUCGGUACGUAAAGUCCUUUCGACGGGGAAGAAAACCGCAAGG
RNAcentral lists this ribosomal RNA (323 nucleotides) under uncultured Acidobacteriota bacterium. RNAcentral's name for it is "bacterial SSU rRNA". It matches the Rfam family "Bacterial small subunit ribosomal RNA", at positions 139 to 459 of the family's 1533-position model. The record is from RNAcentral. Lineage: Bacteria; Pseudomonadati; Acidobacteriota.